GAUGAACGCUGGCGGCGUGCCUAAUACAUGCAAGUCGAACGCAUAGCGAAAGGUGCUUGCACCUUUCAAGUGAGUGGCGAACGGGUGAGUAACACGUGGACAACCUGCCUCAAGGCUGGGGAUAACAUUUGGAAACAGAUGCUAAUACCGAAUAAAACUUAGUGUCGCAUGACACAAAGUUAAAAGGCGCUUCGGCGUCACCUAGAGAUGGAUCCGCGGUGCAUUAGUUAGUUGGUGGGGUAAAGGCCUACCAAGACAAUGAUGCAUAGCCGAGUUGAGAGACUGAUCGGCCACAUUGGGACUGAGACACGGCCCAAACUCCUACGGGAGGCUGCAGUAGGGAAUCUUCCACAAUGGGCGAAAGCCUGAUGGAGCAACGCCGCGUGUGUGAUGAAGGCUUUCGGGUCGUAAAGCACUGUUGUAUGGGAAGAACAGCUAGAAUAGGAAAUGAUUUUAGUUUGACGGUACCAUACCAGAAAGGGGCGGCUAAAUACGUG
Molecule: ribosomal RNA, 497 nt
Filed under: uncultured bacterium
Lineage: Bacteria
Description: partial 16S ribosomal RNA
Rfam family: Bacterial small subunit ribosomal RNA
Source: RNAcentral